AGUUCUCGUUGAUGAUCGGUGCUUGCACCGAGAUUCAACAUAGAACGAGUGGCGAACGGGUGAGUAACACGUGGGUAACCUGCCCUUAAGUGGGGGAUAACAUUUGGAAGCAGAUGCUAAUACCGCAUAGAUCCAAGAACCGCAUGGUUCUUGGCUGAAAGACGGCGUAAGCUAUCGCUUUUGGAUGGACCCGCGGCGUAUUAGCUAGUUGGUGAGGUAAUGGCUCACCAAGGCGAUGAUACGUAGCCGAACUGAGAGGUUGAUCGGCCACAUUGGGACUGAGACACGGCCCAAACUCCUACGGGAGGCAGCAGUAGGGAAUCUUCCACAAUGGACGCAAGUCUGAUGGAGCAACGCCGCGUGAGUGAAGAAGGCUUUCGGGUCGUAAAACUCUGUUGUUGGAGAAGAAUGGUCGGCAGAGUAACUGUUGUCGGCGUGACGGUAUCCAACCAGAAAGCCACGGCUAACCACGUGCCAGCAGCCGCGGUAAUACGUAGGUGGCAAGCGUUAUCCGGAUUUAUUGGGCGUAAAGCGAGCGCAGGCGGUUUUUUAAGUCUGAUGUGAAAGCCCUCGGCUUAACCGAGGAAGCGCAUCGGAAACUGGGAAACUUGAGUGCAGAAGAGGACAGUGGAACUCCAUGUGUAGCGGUGAAAUGCGUAGAUAUAUGGAAGAACACCAGUGGCGAAGGCGGCUGUCUGGUCUGUAACUGACGCUGAGGCUCGAAAGCAUGGGUAGCGAACAGGAUUAGAUACCCUGGUAGUCCAUGCCGUANACGAUGAAUGCUAGGUGUUGGA
This 794-nucleotide ribosomal RNA is filed under the name uncultured bacterium. Its description in RNAcentral is "bacterial SSU rRNA". It matches the Rfam family "Bacterial small subunit ribosomal RNA", at positions 60 to 827 of the family's 1533-position model. The record is from RNAcentral.